This 595-nucleotide long non-coding RNA is filed under the name Homo sapiens (human). RNAcentral's name for it is "HSALNT0382363". Lineage: Eukaryota; Metazoa; Chordata; Mammalia; Primates; Hominidae. The record is from RNAcentral.
GGCGCCACCGGAAAAAGAAAUUCCCGGGCCCUGGCUUCUUGGCCUGAUGGUGAGGCACCAGAGGCACUGCUAGCCUUGAAGCCUCCAGCCUGCUGGAUGCCUCCAUCCCCGGCUAUGCUGUGGCUCUCCUCAUUCUAGGCCUCCUGCUCGUCACAUUCACCCUUGUCCUGGUGCUAAAGUGGAGGGCCUCCCAUGGGGUGUUCAGCCUGGGUGUGUAGAAGCACACAGUGUGGUACAGAGGACCCUCUCCAGACAGGUGACCCCUCAUGCUGCUGCUCCCUCUGCUGAAACCCAAACUGCAAACCUCUCCUCUCCCUGCCUUCACCUUGCCCCACGGCUUCCACAGACAGUGCCUCAACCCCGAGGAAUGAAUCCGAAGUUCCAACACCACUGACUUUCCCAGGAACUCAGAGCCAGAGAGGGCCAAGGACCAGCUCGAGGACACACAGCCAGGGCUUCUUCCCUCCGAAACCCCCAAGGACUGGACUUGCAGGGCUGGGACAGAGGUGGGGUGGGGGAAAGCAAUGCCUUGUCAACCCACGUGGGGAGCCCCACUCCCAUCCCCAAGGUGCAUAAAGUUGAGGAACACCCCUGC